RNAcentral lists this non-coding RNA (30 nucleotides) under Rattus norvegicus (Norway rat). The record is from RNAcentral. Lineage: Eukaryota; Metazoa; Chordata; Mammalia; Rodentia; Muridae.
UAGGUAUGAACGAUGUUCUCAGCUCCUUGU